This 253-nucleotide ribosomal RNA is filed under the name uncultured bacterium. RNAcentral's name for it is "partial 16S ribosomal RNA". It matches the Rfam family "Bacterial small subunit ribosomal RNA", at positions 524 to 776 of the family's 1533-position model. The record is from RNAcentral.
UACAGAGGUGGCAAGCGUUGUUCGGAAUUACUGGGCGUAAAGGGCGAGUAGGUGGCCAUCUAAGUCAGACGUGAAAUCCCCCGGCUUAACCUGGGAACUGCGUCUGAUACUGGACGGCUAGAGUUUGGGAGAGGGAUGCAGAAUUCCAGGUGUAGCGGUGAAAUGCGUAGAUAUCUGGAGGAAUACCGGUGGCGAAGGCGGCAUCCUGGACCAAUAUUGACGCUGAGGAGCGAAAGCCAGGGGAGCAAACGGG